CCCUAGUAACUGCGAGUGAAGCGGGAAAAGCUCAAAUUUAAAAUCUGGCGGUCUUUGGCCGUCCGAGUUGUAGUCUGGAGAAGUGCUUUCCGCGCUGGACCGUGUAUAAGUCUCUUGGAACAGAGCGUCAUAGAGGGUGAGAAUCCCGUCUUUGACACGGACUACCAGUGCUUUGUGAUGCGCUCUCAAAGAGUCGAGUUGUUUGGGAAUGCAGCUCAAAAUGGGUGGUGAAUUCCAUCUAAAGCUAAAUAUUGGCGAGAGACCGAUAGCGAACAAGUACCGUGAGGGAAAGAUGAAAAGCACUUUGGAAAGAGAGUUAAACAGUACGUGAAAUUGCUGAAAGGGAAACGCUUGAAGUCAGUCGCGUUGUCUGGGACUCAGCCUAGCUUUUGCUUGGUGCACUUUCCGGAUGACGGGCCAGCAUCGAUUUUGACCGUCGGAAAAGGGCUAGGGUAAUGUGGCACCUCCGGGUGUGUUAUAGACUUUAGUCGCAUACGGCGGUCGGGAUCGAGGAACGCAGCGCGCCGUAAGGCAGGGGUUCGCCCACUUUCGCGCUUAGGAUGCUGGCGUAAUGGCUUUAAACGACCCGUCUUGAAACACGGACCAAGGAGUCUAACAUACCUGCGAGUGUUUGGGUGGAAAACCCGAGCGCGUAAUGAAAGUGAAAGUUGAGACCUCUGUCGUGGAGGGCAUCGACGCCCGGACCUGACGUUCUCUGACGGAUCCGCGGUAGAGCAUGUAUGUUGGGACCCGAAAGAUGGUGAACUAUGCCUGAAUAGGGUGAAGCCAGAGGAAACUCUGGUGGAGGCUCGUAGCGAUUCUGACGUGCAAAUCGAUCGUCAAAUUUGGGUAUAGGGGCGAAAGACUAAUCG
RNAcentral lists this ribosomal RNA (872 nucleotides) under Sanguinoderma guangdongense. RNAcentral describes it as "Polyporaceae sp. YFS-2021a partial large subunit ribosomal RNA". It matches the Rfam family "Eukaryotic large subunit ribosomal RNA", at positions 78 to 937 of the family's 3401-position model. Lineage: Eukaryota; Fungi; Basidiomycota; Agaricomycetes; Polyporales; Polyporaceae. The record is from RNAcentral.